Lynx canadensis (Canada lynx) is the source of this 3406-nucleotide long non-coding RNA. RefSeq lists it as uncharacterized. The transcript has 3 exons. Lineage: Eukaryota; Metazoa; Chordata; Mammalia; Carnivora; Felidae. The record is from RefSeq and is a predicted model, not a curated record.
AAAUGAAAUUAAAUUUUAUUGGGCUUUAAUUUGAAACCACACCUUAUUUUUUAAAUUAUCAUAAAAUAUACAGGGAGAAGUAACAAAAAGUCUUUUGUAGGAAUGCUUAGGAGGGUAGGGCAGAAUUGCACUGUUAAGGAAUAUGCUUGGUUUAAGGACAACAGGCAACUUCAGUAUUCUAAAAUUUAGUGAUGCCUGCCAACUAGCUGCAACCAAGAAUGAACUUUCCUUGCGUAUUUUAAAUAUUUGCAUAUUUCCACUAAAGAGCAGGAUUUAACAUAGUCUACUGACUUCCAGAAAUGAUGCAAAAAUCAAGUGCCUGUGCACCAUCUAUUUUUUAAUUUUUUUUUUUUUUUUUUUUGUCCUAACUGAUGUUGCUUUCAUCAUUUCCAGGUUCAUUUUAGAAAAGGUUGCACUAAACUGAAGCCUUCAGCCUUUGCAUGACGGGGCACUGCUGCCCUCCUGUGGCCUUCCCGGGCAUUGACAGUCCCAAAGUCCUUCCAACUUUGUCAUCGUUCAGAGGCUCCGACCAUUGCGGUGAUUCCCAGAAGCCGUUUUUAAUUUCAUGUUGUAUCCAGUAUUAACUAGGUCUUUUCUGCUUUCCUUCUGUGAAAUUACCAUUCUAAAAGGGCUUAACUCUGCCCCUCGUUGCUUAAAUAUGGGAGAAAUCCAAUACUGGGGUCUGUGGUCAAUAGCAUCUUCCUUCCCUCUCAGUUCCGUACCUGAAGGUAAAUCACCACAAGUAUAGAUCGCAUGGAGAAAGUUCCCCACUCUGAUUCCUGACUUGCUACCCCAAGAACAUUUGCAGCUGGGUAGUAAAACUGAUGUUCGCACAAGCUACUUACGUUAACAUCAUUUAUCUCCCUUACGCAGCUUUUAAAAACUUGAACCAUUUUCUGUGGCCGUGGCAAGCCUUGUGCCGAUCUAUGGAAAUCAAGCAAGAGUUCUACCAUCCUGGUGCUUAGGGCUGGUGGCUUCAGUGAGAAUCUGGAAACCACCAUUGUUUAGAUGACAGUUAUGGUGUUUGGGAAAAUGGUCAACUGGUCACCCAGCACCACCUGAAAAGGCUCCCAGGAAAACACCCCUUCCAUUUGUAAUCGAUGUUCAUUAUUGGAGAAUUCCUGGUGUAGGACCCCAUGGGACUGCGCUUCAAUUUCGUGUGUAAGAAUGUAUGUAAACGGGGUAGAGGAACGGCGGGGAGAGAGAGAAUCUUAAGCAGCCUUCAUCCAUAAUGAGCGUGGACUCUGGGGCUUGAUUCCGGGACCCCAGGGUCACAAGCCAAAAUCAAGAGUCAAAUGCUUAACCAACUGAGCCACCCAGCUCCUGUGUGGACCUCAUUCUUAUCUUAACGGGCUUCGUUUUUAACGUGUGUCUGCCGUAACCUCCUCCAGUUCUUUAGGAAGUAGGUAAGUCUGCAUAGCAAGUUAACAUUUGCAGGACCCCACUUCUCAUGGCAUUACGAACAGAGAAUGAUCAAAUGAAAAACAAAGACAUGAUUGAAGAGAGUAAAAUAUUUAUUCAGGUCAAGAUGCAUGAAUAGACUCUUAACAGAAAGAGAAUUCAACAGCAGCCAUUUACAGAAUACACAGCAUUGCCACAUUUUAGCAAACUGCGACUGAGGACAUCAGAUAGGUUACAGCGAUUUGUUUGUAAAACUGCAUUCAAUUCUCUCUUACCUCCGCAAUAAUGUAUCAUUAAUGCAGUGAAAGAAGUUAGUGAAAAAAGCGUGAUCGUCCUUCCCCACCUUCUGCCCAUCCGUCUUCCGGGAGACCACGUCUUCCAGGAGAACAGAGGCUGUUGCUCACCAGACUUGGCGUGAGGUUUCGAGGCUGCUGCUUUUCCCCCUACAUCAUAACCGAUUUCAAAUGGUGCUAGACAAAAACAGACUCUGAACACCAGGAGAAAUCGGUCAGCCUGUGUAAGAGAUGGGUCCGGUGGUGCUCCCGGGGGUCCGGCACUUGACCGUGCAGGUGGCAAGUCUGAUUCCAGCCGCACUGCAAGUGCAGCUGGGUGUUCCGGGGCCUCUAGGAGCGGGUGCAACGCCGAUGGGGAUGGAACCGUCCUCCAGGCACACAGCCUCGCCCCUCCCCCGCUACAAUCGAGUACCGGAGGAGCCGGCAUCGCCUGGUCCCCGCGGUCAGAGGCCCUACGGACAGGUGAACGCCCGGUGGUGCUCCCAGGUGCUACAACCAGGCAUCACCUCGGCCCCCUGCUCCAGCUCGGAGUUUCUUUGAAACACAAACACCCUCCCCGCACGGCCGCCCCUCCACAACCCGCAACGGACAUACGCUGCGGCGCACUUUUCCUUUUCAAGUUCUUCCUCUCUUGGACCGGCUCAGGCGGCAGAAGGAGGGGCUCUGUCCCACCAGCGAGAGCUCCUCUGCAGGUGGCCCUUUGCUGCGCCGCAAUUCUUACUCCUAAAACACUGAUUUCAAAUGGUGCUAGAUACAAAGAUGGAAAAAUCUAAGCCACCAUGUGAAACCAGCUUCCAGAAGAAGAGGAUCUCAUUGAAGAAAGAAGGAAGACACAACCGGAAGACCCAGGUGCUGCCCUGUCUUCUUGCAGUUCCACUUGGGGCGGAACAUCGCGGUCCGUGAGAGAGGCACAGAGCGGACCUAGCCGGGGAAGCUCAAGGAAUGUGAAAGUCGCGGCUGACGCGUCACACAGACGGUAGCAAUACAAAACUCAUGGAGCCUAGUUGACCCUGGACAACCAGUCCUAACAGUUUAUUACACAUGUGAUGGAGGGAAGUAUCCCAGAGCUAUUAUGAAAACGCGUGAACGUUUUCAUUAGCAUCGCCCCCUGCUCUCGAAAACAUCUCACAGCACGCAGUGUCUUCUGAUACUAUGUCACGUCAUCAGGAAACAAGCGUCCUAUCUGCCUAGGAGGUUCGAGCCAGGUGAGUUUCACCUGCUCGGGGGCAACUCCUGAUGCGCCCUAUUCAGGAAGAGCCUGGGGUCCACCUUCCCAGCCUCAAGUAAGGGUCACAACGUUAGCAAUCUUUGUUUAACCUCUGCUGUGACACGCACACAAAAAUGUCGUGUCCUGAAGCGGUGUUAAGUAGAUAAUCCUCUAACACAAGGACCGAGUUUUGUGCUGUUUUCAAAAAUGUGUCUGAAAAUAAGAUUUGCAUCCUGUGUUCAAAUUAGAUUUCCCAUCUCCUCAACGUGUCGGGUUUUUUGUUUGUUUGUUUGCUUUUGUUUCGGUCAUCGGAAGCUGAGAAAACAGGUCUGUAUCUCCUGGGAUGCCACAACUAAGGAAAGAGGAGACAGAGUAGAAUCUGGAUCUUUCGGGCUGUCGACCAGCUCUGAAGGCUUCCAGAUCCAGGCCUGUAUUUAUUGUGGCUCCCGGAAAUAACAGCAUGUGCCGCUGCAGGCAGGAGAAGGAAAUAAAAUUUGAACACUGA